GAUGAACGCUGGCGGCGUGCUUAACACAUGCAAGUCGAACGAUGAAGCCCAGCUUGCUGGGUGGAUUAGUGGCGAACGGGUGAGUAACACGUGAGUAACCUGCCCUUAACUCUGGGAUAAGCCUGGGAAACUGGGUCUAAUACCGGAUAGGAGCGUCCACCGCAUGGUGGGUGUUGGAAAGAUUUAUCGGUUUUGGAUGGACUCGCGGCCUAUCAGCUUGUUGGUGAGGUAAUGGCUCACCAAGGCGAAGACGGGUAGCCGGCCUGAGAGGGUGACCGGCCAAACUGGGACCGGGGACACGGCCCGGAUUCUUCCGGGGGCAGGCGGGGGGGAUAAUUGAACAAGGGCGGCAGGCCGAUGGCGCGAACGCGGGUGGGGGGAUACGGCCCUCGGGUUGUAAACCUCUUUCAGUAGGGAAGAAGCGAAAGUGACGGUACCUGCAGAAGAAGCACCGGCUAACUACGUG
RNAcentral lists this ribosomal RNA (466 nucleotides) under uncultured bacterium. RNAcentral describes it as "partial 16S ribosomal RNA". It matches the Rfam family "Bacterial small subunit ribosomal RNA", at positions 28 to 507 of the family's 1533-position model. The record is from RNAcentral.